CGGGAAAUAGCUCAGCUUGGUAGAGCACCUGGUUUGGGACCAGGGGGUCGCUGGUUCGAAUCCUGUUUUCCCGA
RNAcentral lists this transfer RNA (74 nucleotides) under Limosilactobacillus reuteri. RNAcentral describes it as "Lactobacillus reuteri tRNA-Pro". It matches the Rfam family "tRNA". From Rfam's summary of the family: Transfer RNA (tRNA) molecules are approximately 80 nucleotides in length. Their secondary structure includes four short double-helical elements and three loops (D, anti-codon, and T loops). The record is from RNAcentral. Lineage: Bacteria; Bacillati; Bacillota; Bacilli; Lactobacillales; Lactobacillaceae.